GACGAACGCUGGCGGCGUGCUUAACACAUGCAAGUCGGACGGAAAGGCCCUGCUUUUGUGGGGUGCUCGAGUGGCGAACGGGUGAGUAACACGUGAGUAACCUGCCCUUGACUUUGGGAUAACUUCAGGAAACUGGGGCUAAUACCGGAUAGGAGCUCCUGCUGCAUGGUGGGGGUUGGAAAGUUUCGGCGGUUGGGGAUGGACUCGCGGCUUAUCAGCUUGUUGGUGGGGUAGUGGCUUACCAAGGCUUUGACGGGUAGCCGGCCUGAGAGGGUGACCGGCCACAUUGGGACUGAGAUACGGCCCAGACUCCUACGGGAGGCAGCAGUGGGGAAUAUUGCACAAUGGGCGGGAGCCUGAUGCAGCAACGCCGCGUGCGGGAUGACGGCCUUCGGGUUGUAAACCGCUUUCGCCUGUGACGAAGCGUGAGUGACGGUAAUGGGUAAAGAAGCACCGGCUAACUACGUG
Molecule: ribosomal RNA, 468 nt
Filed under: uncultured bacterium
Lineage: Bacteria
Description: partial 16S ribosomal RNA
Rfam family: Bacterial small subunit ribosomal RNA
Source: RNAcentral